Molecule: ribosomal RNA, 423 nt
Filed under: uncultured bacterium
Lineage: Bacteria
Description: bacterial SSU rRNA
Rfam family: Bacterial small subunit ribosomal RNA
Source: RNAcentral
UGGGGAAUUUUGGACAAUGGGGGCAACCCUGAUCCAGCGACGCCGCGUGAAGGAUGAAGGUCUUCGGAUUGUAAACUUCUUUUAUAGGGGAUGAAUGUAUUGGUGAAUAGCCAAUAGUGACAGUACCCUGUGAAUAAGCCACGGCUAACUACGUGCCAGCAGCCGCGGUAAUACGUAGGUGGCAAGCGUUACUCGGAAUCACUAGGCGUAAAGCGCAGGUAGGCGGUUUGAUAAGUCUGUUGUGAAAGCUCCCGGCUUAACUGGGAGAGGUCAACGGAAACUGUCAAGCUAGAGUGUGGUAGAGGUAGCUGGAAUUCCCGGUGUAGCGGUGAAAUGCGUAGAUAUCGGGAGGAAUACCUAUGGCGAAAGCAGGCUACUGGACCAUCACUGACGCUGAUCUGCGAAAGCUAGGGGAGCAAACAG